This 253-nucleotide ribosomal RNA is filed under the name uncultured bacterium. RNAcentral's name for it is "partial 16S ribosomal RNA". It matches the Rfam family "Bacterial small subunit ribosomal RNA", at positions 524 to 776 of the family's 1533-position model. The record is from RNAcentral.
UACGUAGGGGGCUAGCGUUGUCCGGAAUCAUUGGGCGUAAAGAGCGCGUAGGCGGCCAGAUAAGUCCGGUGUGAAAGUCAGAGGCUCAACCUUUGAAUGCCGCUGGAAACUGUCUGGCUAGAGUCCGGAAGGGGCGAGUGGAAUUCCUGGUGUAGCGGUGAAAUGCGCAGAUAUCAGGAGGAACACCAAUGGCGAAGGCAGCUCGCUGGAACGGUACUGACGCUGAGGCGCGAAAGCGUGGGGAGCGAACAGG